RNAcentral lists this transfer RNA (73 nucleotides) under Anguilla anguilla (European eel). Its description in RNAcentral is "tRNA-OTHER". The record is from RNAcentral. Lineage: Eukaryota; Metazoa; Chordata; Actinopteri; Anguilliformes; Anguillidae.
UACAGUGUGGAAUAAUGGUUAGAACACUGGGCUUGUAACUCAAAGGUUGUGGGUUUGAUUCCCAACUGGGGAC